GCUUGUCUCAAAGAUUAAGCCAUGCAUGUCUAAGUGUAAAUAAGUCUAUACUGUGAAACUGCGAAUGGCUCAUUAAAUCAGUUAUCGUUUAUUUGAUGAUCUCUUACUACUUGGAUAACCGUAGUAAUUCUAGAGCUAAUACAUGCACAAAAUCCCGACUUACGAAGGUCUGUGUUUAUUAGAUGGAAACCAAAGCGGGGAAACCCGGAUUUAUGGUGAUUCAUAAUAACCCUCCGAUCGGCUAUGCCGACGCAUCAUUCAAGUUUCUGCCCUAUCAGCUUUGGACGGUAGGGUAUUGGCCUACCGUGGCUUUAACGGGUAACGGAGAAUUAGGGUUCGAUUCCGGAGAGGGAGCCUGAGAAAUGGCUACCACAUCCAAGGAAGGCAGCAGG
RNAcentral lists this ribosomal RNA (392 nucleotides) under uncultured Chrysophyceae. RNAcentral's name for it is "partial small subunit ribosomal RNA". It matches the Rfam family "Eukaryotic small subunit ribosomal RNA", at positions 30 to 432 of the family's 1831-position model. The record is from RNAcentral. Lineage: Eukaryota; Chrysophyceae.